Molecule: ribosomal RNA, 735 nt
Filed under: uncultured Fusobacterium sp.
Lineage: Bacteria; Fusobacteriati; Fusobacteriota; Fusobacteriia; Fusobacteriales; Fusobacteriaceae
Description: bacterial SSU rRNA
Rfam family: Bacterial small subunit ribosomal RNA
Source: RNAcentral
GAUGAACGCUGACAGAAUGCUUAACACAUGCAAGUCAACUUGAAUUUGGGUUUUUAACUUAGAUUUGGGUGGCGGACGGGUGAGUAACGCGUAAAGAACUUGCCUCACAGCUAGGGACAACAUUUAGAAAUGAAUGCUAAUACCUGAUAUUAUGAUUUUAAGGCAUCUUAGAAUUAUGAAAGCUAUAAGCACUGUGAGAGAGCUUUGCGUCCCAUUAGCUAGUUGGAGAGGUAACAGCUCACCAAGGCGAUGAUGGGUAGCCGGCCUGAGAGGGUGAACGGCCACAAGGGGACUGAGACACGGCCCUUACUCCUACGGGAGGCAGCAGUGGGGAAUAUUGGACAAUGGACCGAGAGUCUGAUCCAGCAAUUCUGUGUGCACGAUGAAGUUUUUCGGAAUGUAAAGUGCUUUCAGUUGGGAAGAAAGAAAUGACGGUACCAACAGAAGAAGUGACGGCUAAAUACGUGCCAGCAGCCGCGGUAAUACGUAUGUCACGAGCGUUAUCCGGAUUUAUUGGGCGUAAAGCGCGUCUAGGUGGUUAUGUAAGUCUGAUGUGAAAAUGCAGGGCUCAACUCUGUAUUGCGUUGGAAACUGUGUGACUAGAGUACUGGAGAGGUAAGCGGAACUACAAGUGUAGAGGUGAAAUUCGUAGAUAUUUGUAGGAAUGCCGAUGGGGAAGCCAGCUUACUGGACAGAUACUGACGCUAAAGCGCGAAAGCGUGGGUAGCAAACAGG